This 764-nucleotide ribosomal RNA is filed under the name Plantibacter sp. GWS-SE-H300. Its description in RNAcentral is "bacterial SSU rRNA". It matches the Rfam family "Bacterial small subunit ribosomal RNA", at positions 47 to 826 of the family's 1533-position model. The record is from RNAcentral. Lineage: Bacteria; Bacillati; Actinomycetota; Actinomycetes; Micrococcales; Microbacteriaceae.
CUUAACACAUGCAAGUCGAACGAUGAAGCCCAGCUUGCUGGGUGGAUUAGUGGCGAACGGGUGAGUAACACGUGAGUAACCUGCCCUUGACUCUGGGAUAAGCGUUGGAAACGACGUCUAAUACCGGAUACGAGCUUCCACCGCAUGGUGAGUUGCUGGAAAGAAUUUUGGUCAAGGAUGGACUCGCGGCCUAUCAGCUUGUUGGUGAGGUAAUGGCUCACCAAGGCGACGACGGGUAGCCGGCCUGAGAGGGUGACCGGCCACACUGGGACUGAGACACGGCCCAGACUCUACGGGAGGCAGCAGUGGGGAAUAUUGCACAAUGGGCGAAAGCCUGAUGCAGCAACGCCGCGUGAGGGACGACGGCUUCGGGUUGUAAACCUCUUUUAGCAGGGAAGAAGCGAAAGUGACGGUACCUGCAGAAAAAGCACCGGCUAACUACGUGCCAGCAGCCGCGGUAAUACGUAGGGUGCAAGCGUUGUCCGGAAUUAUUGGGCGUAAAGAGCUCGUAGGCGGUUUGUCGCGUCUGCUGUGAAAUCCCGAGGCUCAACCUCGGGUCUGCAGUGGGUACGGGCAGACUAGAGUGCGGUAGGGGAGAUUGGAAUUCCUGGUGUAGCGGUGGAAUGCGCAGAUAUCAGGAGGAACACCGAUGGCGAAGGCAGAUCUCUGGGCCGCUACUGACGCUGAGGAGCGAAAGGGUGGGGAGCAAACAGGCUUAGAUACCCUGGUAGUCCACCCCGUAAACGUUGGGCGCUAGAUGUGGG